RNAcentral lists this ribosomal RNA (460 nucleotides) under uncultured bacterium. Its description in RNAcentral is "partial 16S ribosomal RNA". It matches the Rfam family "Bacterial small subunit ribosomal RNA", at positions 338 to 795 of the family's 1533-position model. The record is from RNAcentral.
CCUACGGGUGGCAGCAGUGAGGAAUAUUGGUCAAUGGACGCAAGCCUGAACCAGCCAUGUCGCGUGCAGGAAGACUGCCCUAUGAGUUGUAAACUUCUUUUGUACGAGGGUAAACUCAGACACGCGUACCUGUCUGAAUGUACUUUACGAAUAAGGAUCGGCUAACUCCGUGCCAGCAGCCGCGGUAAUACGGAGGAUUCAAGCGUUAUCCGGAUUUAUUGGGUUUAAAGGGUGCGUAGGUGGUUGGAUAAGUUAGUUGUGAAAUUCUGAGGCUCAACCUUGAAAUUGCAAUUGAUACUGGCCGGCUAGAGUGUAGUUGCGGUAGGCGGAAUGCAUGGUGUAGCGGUGAAAUGCUUAGAGAUCACACAGAACACCGAUUGCGAAGGCAGCUUACCAAGCUACUUCUGACAUUGAGGCACGAAAGCGUGGGGAGCAAACAGGAUUAGAUACCCCGGUAGUC